This 460-nucleotide ribosomal RNA is filed under the name uncultured bacterium. Its description in RNAcentral is "partial 16S ribosomal RNA". It matches the Rfam family "Bacterial small subunit ribosomal RNA", at positions 338 to 795 of the family's 1533-position model. The record is from RNAcentral.
CCUACGGGAGGCAGCAGUGAGGAAUAUUGGUCAAUGGACGAGAGUCUGAACCAGCCAAGUAGCGUGAAGGAUGACUGCCCUAUGGGUUGUAAACUUCUUUUGUAAAGGAAUAAAACGAGGCACGUGUGCCUUUUUGCAUGUACUUUAUGAAUAAGGAUCGGCUAACUCCGUGCCAGCAGCCGCGGUAAUACGGAGGAUUCGAGCGUUAUCCGGAUUUAUUGGGUUUAAAGGGAGCGUAGAUGGGUUGUUAAGUCAGUGGUGAAAGUUUGCGGCUCAACCGUAAAAUUGCAAUUGAUACUGGUAGUCUUGAGUACAGUUGAGGUAGGCGGAAUUCGUGGUGUAGCGGUGAAAUGCUUAGAUAUCACGAAGAACCCCGAUUGCGAAGGCAGCUUACCAAACUGUGACUGACAUUGAUGCUCGAAAGUGUGGGUAUCAAACAGGAUUAGAUACCCCAGUAGUC